CCUACGGGUGGCUGCAGUGAGGAAUAUUGGUCAAUGGACGCGAGCCUGAACCAGCCAAGUAGCGUGCAGGAUGACUGCCCUACGGGUUGUAAACUUCUUUUAUACAGGAAUAAAGUGCGGCACGUGUGCCUUUUUGUAUGUACUUUAUGAAUAAGGAUCGGCUAACUCCGUGCCAGCAGCCGCGGUAAUACGGAGGAUCCGAGCGUUAUCCGGAUUUAUUGGGUUUAAAGGGAGCGUAGAUGGGUUGUUAAGUCAGUUGUGAAAGGUUGCGGCUCAACCGUAAAAUUGCAAUUGAUACUGUCAGUCUUGAGUACAGUUGAGGUAGGCGGAAUGCGUGGUGUAGCGGUGAAAUGCUUAGAUAUCACGAAGAACUCCGAUUGCGAAGGCAGCUUACUAAACUGCCACUGACAUUGAUGCUCGAAAGUGUGGGUAGCAAACAGGAUUAGAUACCCCGGUAGUC
RNAcentral lists this ribosomal RNA (460 nucleotides) under uncultured bacterium. Its description in RNAcentral is "partial 16S ribosomal RNA". It matches the Rfam family "Bacterial small subunit ribosomal RNA", at positions 338 to 795 of the family's 1533-position model. The record is from RNAcentral.